CGUAGGUGGCAAGCGUUGUCCGGAUUUAUUGGGUUUAAAGGGUGCGUAGGCGGUGAUUUAAGUCAGUGGUGAAAUACUUCAGCUUAACUGGAGAGGUGCCAUUGAUACUGGGUCACUUGAGUACUGAUGAGGUAGGCGGAAUGGACGGUGUAGCGGUGAAAUGCUUAGAUAUCGUCCAGAACACCGAUAGCGAAGGCAGCUUACUAAGGAGUAACUGACGCUGAGGCACGAAAGUGUGGGGGAUCAAACAGGAUUAGAUACCCUGGUAGUCCACACUGUAAACGAUGAUCACUCGAUGUUGGCGAUACACAGCCAGCGUCUUAGCAAAAGCGAUAAGUGAUCCACCUGGGGAGUACGCCGGCAACGGUG
RNAcentral lists this ribosomal RNA (369 nucleotides) under uncultured organism. RNAcentral's name for it is "bacterial SSU rRNA". It matches the Rfam family "Bacterial small subunit ribosomal RNA", at positions 526 to 896 of the family's 1533-position model. The record is from RNAcentral.